Molecule: small nuclear RNA, 144 nt
Organism: Phyllostomus hastatus (greater spear-nosed bat)
Lineage: Eukaryota; Metazoa; Chordata; Mammalia; Chiroptera; Phyllostomidae
Product: U4 spliceosomal RNA
Exons: 1
Source: RefSeq, a predicted model, not a curated record
AGAUUCACACAGUGGCUGUAUCGUAGCCAAUGAAGUUUAUCUGAGGCAUAAUUAUUGCUAAUUGAAAACUUCCCACAAAGUGACUUUUUGUGGUUAGCUUGAUAACUUAAAUCAUAACUUAAUAUCAUUUUUAUUGGGAUAUGA